GACGAACGCUGGCGGCGUGCUUAACACAUGCAAGUCGAACGGAAAGAGAUGAAAGAGCUUGCUCUUUUAUUAAUUUCAGUGGCAAACGGGUGAGUAACACGUAAACAACCUGCCUUAAGGAUGGGGAUAACAGACGGAAACGACUGCUAAUACCGAAUACGUUCUAAGCAUCGCAUGGUGCAUAGAAGAAAGGGUGGCCUCUACAAGAAAGCUAUCGCCUUAAGAGGGGUUUGCGACUGAUUAGGUAGUUGGUGAGGUAACGGCUCACCAAGCCGACGAUCAGUAGCCGGUUGAGAGGAUGAACGGCCACACUGGAACUGAGACACGGUCCAGACUCCUCGGGAGGCAGCAAGGUCUUCGGAUUGUAAGUUCUGUGAUUCGCGGACGAAAGGGUUUGUGGUGAAUAAUCAUAGACAUUGCCAGUACCGAAAAAGCAAGCCACGGCUAACUACGUGCCAGCAGCCGCGGUAAUACGUAGGUGGCAAGCGUUGUCCGGAAUUAUUGGGCGUAAAGCGCGGCAGGCGGUUUCUUAAGUCCAUCUUAAAAGCGUGGGGCUCAACCCCAUGAGGGGUGGAAACUGGGAAGCUGGAGUAUCGGAGAGGAAAGUGGAAUUCCUAGUGUAGCGGUGAAAUGCGUAGAGAUUAGGAAGAACACCGGUGGCGAAGGCGACUUUAUAGACGAAAACUGACGCUGAGGCGCGAAAGCGUGGGGAGCAAACAGGAUUAGAUACCCUGGUAGUCCACGCCGUAAACGAUGGAUACUAGGUGUAGGAGGUAUCGACCCCUCCUGUGCCGGAGUUAACGCCAUAAGUAUCCCGCCUGGGAAGUA
RNAcentral lists this ribosomal RNA (828 nucleotides) under Dialister pneumosintes. RNAcentral's name for it is "bacterial SSU rRNA". It matches the Rfam family "Bacterial small subunit ribosomal RNA", at positions 28 to 882 of the family's 1533-position model. Lineage: Bacteria; Bacillati; Bacillota; Negativicutes; Veillonellales; Veillonellaceae. The record is from RNAcentral.